UGAUGUCUUUUAGGGUCAUUUCAUAACGAGUAAGGUUAUUAUUAAAUUUUAAUUAAAAUGUGAGUCAAAAAUCAAAAUCAAAAGAAAAUUAAUUUCUAGAAACUAAACAAGCAAGUGGCACAGAGGAUAAUGUUUUAGGUCACAUCACGAAACAAGAAACGUAAAAGCAAGAUUACUUGCUCUUCAAGUGUCACGAUCGCCAUCUUCAUCUUUGAAAUUUUAAUGGUCCUCAAAUAUAUUGAGUUAAUUGAAGAACUUGUAUUGAUUUUAUGGGUGAACUUAUUUGUCUAUUCAUUUGUUAUUAAAGUAUUUUUAUAAUCACAAUCGACAAUUCUCCUUAUUAUAUUUGUAAAAAGUUAUUAAACUGAAUAACUUUAUAAAAAGAGAUAACUUACCGGCUACCGUCAAAAUUAUUUUUUCUUAACCUCUCAAAUCUACUCACUCUUGUAGAAAAAAAUAAACUAUAACCACUAAAAGCAGAUGUAGUCACAAAUGUUAAUGAAAAAGCUUAAUUGUUUUUAGUAAUUGUAUUUAUCAAAUAAAUAUAGUUUGCAAUAUAAAUAGGGAAGUGCAAAUGAUCCUUUAUCAUAAUGGUAGGAAGGUGUUGAGCACUUACAUGACAACGUGAGUUCAAACCUCGUUGGUGACUAAUUUAACAUCUAAUCUAACAAAAUCUAUCGUCUGACAAAAAAAAAAACAAAAUAUAUAUAUAAAUUGGGAAGUGACUGGACAACAUCAAUUUCACUCUCUCCAAAGGGUAGUUGCUUGCCAUCACCUUUUUCUUGCUCUAUCUUGUUUCGACCCAUUUCUGAUAGGAUACAUUGAUCUUUUUUUGGGUCAAAAUGAAUACUUCAGAAUUUUCAGAAUCUCUAUUAUUUCAUAUAAUUUCUUUUUAUUUGGAAAUGUUCGGAUUGAAACGAAAUUUUCGUGCCGGAAUCAUAACAUUCUUUUAAUUGACAAAUUAUAAAAUAUUUACAAAGAUACUUGUAGGAUGAGAUGUAUCAUAAUUGCAUUCUUGUGAGUCGAACAUGAAAACUUCUCCAACCAAGGCUGGUUCGCUAUAAAUUCUUUUGUGCUUUUAUUAAGUUGAUAGAUAAGCGAGUGGAUUAUGUCUAGUUUUUGUAAUUAAGUUCUUUUACCUUUAAGCAAUUAUCCCAGCCAUUAAAGUCAAUACAAUGCCAAAGCCUCUUUUCUUUGAGAUGUCAUUGUACAUUUAUAUAUAUAUAUAUAUAUAUGGGUAAUGCUAGGUAAACCAAUUUUUUAAACCAAAUUUAUAUUUUUAGAUAUCUAAAUUACCCUUAAUAACGUUGACUUUGGGUCUGUUAUGUGACAUCCCACAUCGACCAACGGAGAGGGGGUGAGGUGCCUUAUAUGUAUAUGUCCACCUCCAUAUAGCACGAGG
This 1402-nucleotide long non-coding RNA is filed under the name Malus domestica (apple). RNAcentral describes it as "long non-coding RNA (MDOM_LNC002661)". The record is from RNAcentral. Lineage: Eukaryota; Viridiplantae; Streptophyta; Magnoliopsida; Rosales; Rosaceae.